UUAAAAAUUAAAAUGGAGAAAUGGGUAGGGGAUGAAGAUUCUACCUCAUCCCCGUCCCCUCCUCGAAUAAGAAAUUGGGUAAAAAAAUUUCCCCGUCCCUUCCCCGAAUAAGAAAUUGAGUAUGAAAUUAUCCCCAUACCCUCUUCGAAUGGGGAAAAUCUCCGAGGGUACCCGUCCCCAUGGGAAUUUUUGCCAUCCCUAUCAACCUCAUUACUUAGGAUUUGGAUGAAUUUACAAUUUUUAUUGAUAUCUCCAUCCCACUUUCAGCUCAACUUCGAAUAGUUUGUUUCUGGAACCUUCUGCCCCCCUGUAACAUGUUUCCCAUAGAGCCCCGCAAGUCCGUGAUAGGUGCUUCAAUUAUUUUUAAUUAGUGUUUGAAUAAGGCUAUUAGUAGUGUAGUUGAAUUAGUUGGUGUAGAUAGAUAGUAAAGUAUCAAUCCAAUUCCUGAUUUGGAGGGAGUGCUUCCAUUAUUUCCUGUUACUGUUUUAGUUGGUUGUUGAUGUUGGCUAGCUUAAGGACUAGUUUGAGAUUGUAGUGUUAGAUGAAGUAAGUUGUUUGUGAUGAAAUAAGUUGUUAUUGAAAAAGUAGUUUAGUGUUUGGUGAAUUAUAUUAUUGUGGUUGUUGUGAAAUUAAAAAAUAGAGUACAUAUAUUUGGUAAAUUUUCUUAUAAAAGUACUAUUUUGUUACAUAAUGGUGAAAACAUAUAUAAGUUUAAAUUACUUUCAGGAUUUAUUAAAAAAAAAAAGAUAUUGUUGUCCUUUUAUUAAAAUAUUAAUGUUAUAACAGGAACUUUAAAAAAAGU
This 802-nucleotide long non-coding RNA is filed under the name Citrus x clementina. RNAcentral describes it as "Citrus clementina (C. clementina) long non-coding RNA (CCLE_LNC006561)". Lineage: Eukaryota; Viridiplantae; Streptophyta; Magnoliopsida; Sapindales; Rutaceae. The record is from RNAcentral.